UGAUGGGAAGCCAAGAAGAAUUGGGUGU
Molecule: non-coding RNA, 28 nt
Filed under: Homo sapiens (human)
Lineage: Eukaryota; Metazoa; Chordata; Mammalia; Primates; Hominidae
Source: RNAcentral